This 493-nucleotide ribosomal RNA is filed under the name uncultured bacterium. Its description in RNAcentral is "partial 16S ribosomal RNA". It matches the Rfam family "Bacterial small subunit ribosomal RNA", at positions 28 to 507 of the family's 1533-position model. The record is from RNAcentral.
GACGAACGCUGGCGGCGUGCUUAACACAUGCAAGUCGAACGGUGAAGCACCUUCCUUUUGGUGGGUGUGGAUGAGUGGCGAACGGGUGAGUCACACGUGAGUAACCUGCCCCCUUCUUCUGGAUAACCGCAUGAAAGUUUGGCUAAUACGGGAUAUUCUGGGUCUGUCGCAUGGCGGGCCUGGGAAAGAUAUUGUUUCGGUGGGGGAUGGGCUCGCGGUCUAUCAGCUUGUUGGUGGGGUGAUGGCCUACCAAGGCGGUGACGGGUAGCCGGCCUGAGAGGGUGGACGGUCACACUGGGACUGAGACACGGCCCAGACUCCUACGGGAGGCAGCAGGGGGGAAUAUUGCACAAUGGGCGCAAGCCUGAUGCAGCGACGCCGCGUGAGGGAUGGAGGCCGUCGGGUUGUAAACCUCUUUCGCCAGUGAAGCAGGCCUGUCCCUUUUGUGGGUGGGUUGACGGUAGCUGGAUAAGAAGCGCCGGCUAACUACGUG